AUGUCCAGUUUUGCAGUACAGAUGGAACUAAGAAAGAGAACCAUCACCUAUAACCCCAAAAGAACCAGAUUUUGCAAACAACAUAGAGGAAGAAUGAAAGGAAAAUCCUGCCGAGGCAAUCAUAUUUAUUUUGGUAGAUAUGCUCUUCAAGCACUUGAACCCGCUUGGAUCACAGCGAGACAGAUCGAAGCAGGACGAAGAGCAAUAACACGAUAUGCACGUCGUGGUGGAAAAAUAUGGGUACGUAUAUUUCCCCACAAACCGGUUACACUAAGACCCACGGAAACACGUAUGGGCUCGGGAAAGGGGUCCCCCGAAUGUUGGGUAUCUAUUGUUAAACCUGGUCGUAUACUUUAUGAAAUGGGGGAAGUAUCUGAAACUGUACCUAGAGCAGCUAUCUCCAUAUCUGCUAGUAAAAUGCCCAUACGAAGUCACAGAUUUGUAUUCGAGUCAUAG
This 456-nucleotide ribosomal RNA is filed under the name Triticum aestivum (bread wheat). RNAcentral's name for it is "partial small subunit ribosomal RNA". Lineage: Eukaryota; Viridiplantae; Streptophyta; Magnoliopsida; Poales; Poaceae. The record is from RNAcentral.